This 660-nucleotide ribosomal RNA is filed under the name Sphingobium yanoikuyae. RNAcentral describes it as "bacterial SSU rRNA". It matches the Rfam family "Bacterial small subunit ribosomal RNA", at positions 26 to 732 of the family's 1533-position model. Lineage: Bacteria; Pseudomonadati; Pseudomonadota; Alphaproteobacteria; Sphingomonadales; Sphingobiaceae. The record is from RNAcentral.
AGAACGAACGCUGGCGGCAUGCCUAAUACAUGCAAGUCGAACGAGAUCUUCGGAUCUAGUGGCGCACGGGUGCGUAACGCGUGGGAAUCUGCCCUUGGGUUCGGAAUAACUUCUGGAAACGGAAGCUAAUACCGGAUGAUGACGUAAGUCCAAAGAUUUAUCGCCCAAGGAUGAGCCCGCGUAGGAUUAGCUAGUUGGUGGGGUAAAGGCCCACCAAGGCGACGAUCCUUAGCUGGUCUGAGAGGAUGAUCAGCCACACUGGGACUGAGACACGGCCCAGACUCCUACGGGAGGCAGCAGUAGGGAAUAUUGGACAAUGGGCGAAAGCCUGAUCCAGCAAUGCCGCGUGAGUGAUGAAGGCCUUAGGGUUGUAAAGCUCUUUUACCCGGGAUGAUAAUGACAGUACCGGGAGAAUAAGCUCCGGCUAACUCCGUGCCAGCAGCCGCGGUAAUACGGAGGGAGCUAGCGUUGUUCGGAAUUACUGGGCGUAAAGCGCACGUAGGCGGCUAUUCAAGUCAGAGGUGAAAGCCCGGGGCUCAACCCCGGAACUGCCUUUGAAACUAGAUAGCUUGAAUCCAGGAGAGGUGAGUGGAAUUCCGAGUGUAGAGGUGAAAUUCGUAGAUAUUCGGAAGAACACCAGUGGCGAAGGCGGCUCACUGG